GUUCAAAUCUUUUGCCUGUUUCUUCCUCCACAAAGUGGUGGCCACAGGCCUUCUCUCACCCCUCCCCAUUCCUCCUGUCACUAGAGUAGCACUCUGCCCAUGGGCUUCCAUCUUGGGGGCUUUGUCUCCAGACACCCUCACCCCAUUUCAAACCUAGGAGGGACCUCAUUACUCCCAGGGCUCAGGGCCCUGACACCUCCCAGGGCUCCCAAAGACUCCAAGGGUGCCCCCAUUCCUCAGGCCACCAUACUCUUCCAGUUCCCCAGUAGGGAAACAUUCAGUGCAGAUUGACUGAGUGUCUACCAUGUGGAAGGGACUUCCUAGGUGGCCCAGUGGUCAAGAAUCCGCCUGCCAAUGUAGGAGUGUCAGGAGACACAGGUCCCAUCCCUAGGUGGGGAAGAUCCCCUGGAGGAGGAGGCCAUGGCAACCCAUUCCAGUAUUGUUGCCUGGAGAACCCAUGGACAGAGGAGCCUGGUGGGCUACAGUCCAUGGGAUUGCAGAGUCAGACACGACUGAGCAACUUUCCACCUAAGAUGUGGAAAGAUCUGUUGGAGGCCUCAGUACACCUCGGUAAACUUGGAUUCCGGUUUUGCACCCCAUUUUUAGUUGUCAGAGCUCAGGUGGGGCCUUUAACUUCUCUGGGCCUCGACUUUCCCCUCUGACACUGGAAUAACAACAUCCCCUGGGUGGAAAGAGUUUUCCCUUGGCGAUGGGAAAGAGAGGCAGCGGCUGAGGCAGGGCGAGGCCAAGAGUGCGCGCUGGCUCUCAGGGCCAGGACUCCUUGGCGGCCGCCAGGUAGGUCACCGCGCUGGUUGGGGCGCCGAGCACGGGACCGGCCGGCUUCAGCCACGUCCAGGCCCGGGCUGGCCACCAGAUGAGCGCUCCCGAGCGCCCCAAACGCGUCGCGGGCGGCCGUGCGUCCACCAGGCCAAGUACAGGUCAUGGAGCGGCGCCCGGGGGGCGGCACGGACCCUAGGGGAAGCAGAGGAGGCGGUGGCGGUCCCCAGCCCGAGGGUCCCAGCGCCAGACAGUUCCUGGCGCGGCUGGAAGCUCGCCCCCUGGCGGCCCGAGCUGCGGCCGACGUGGCGGCGCUGGUACGCAGGGCGGGCGCCACCUUGCGCCUGCGCCCCAAGGAGGCCCUUAGAAUACCGGAAGGACAAUGACAUCAUGGAUUUGUCCCAAGAUCCCCUUGCCUCCUAGGAAGAGUUCCUGGCAUGUCAAGUACAGUCAGUUUUAAAAGCUCUGCGUUGUACUUCCCUGGUUGUGCUGUGGCUAAUGUUCAAGGCUCCCAAUGUAGAGGGCCAGGUUCAAUUACGUUGGGGAAUUGGAUCCUAAGUAACUACUAAGACCUUGCACAGCCAAAUAAAUAACAAUAAGUAUUAAAAAAAAAACUUGUGUAAUUUUGGGAAGCUUGAACCGUCCAUCUUGCCAAGAUUUCCUUCAUGAAUCUUGGGGUCUUGGAUUGGGAGAGAGGGUGGAAAAGGAGGAUGGGAGCUGCAGGAGAGCAUUGAACAGGGCCACGCUGAGAAUCCAGCACAAGCCUUGAGUCAAUAUUGGAUGUCUCUCCAUUUAUUUAGGUCUUUAAUUUCUUUCAACAAUGCUUUGCAUUUCCUAGAGUACAAUUUUUAUGCUUCUUUUGUUAAAUUUGUUCCAAAGUAUUUUUAUUAUUUUCAGGCUGUUGUGAAUGGAGUUAUUUUUUUAUUUCAUUCUUGUCUAUAGAAAUACAAUUGAUUUUUGUAUAUUGAUUUUCUAUCCUGUAGCCUCGUGAAACUUGUUAUUAGUUCUAAUUGUUUUUCAAUUGGUUCCUUAGGAUUUUCUAUGUAAUGACAUUUGCAAAUAGAGAUGGUUUUAUUUCUUUGUUAAAAAGGAAACAAUCAAUGCAAAAUGGAGUGACUUGUACUAAGCUCCACUGAUAUUUAAUAUCUAACCUAAUUGUACUUGCAGGCUAUCCUAGGAAUUGAAUUUUAAGCCAACUAGUCUGUGAGGUUUUUUUUUUCCUGGUCAGCACUAGUGAGGUAAUCUGCCUAAGACAUCCUCCCUUGCCUUCCCCUGAAGGGAAGGUGACCUUCCCAGAAAUAAUACUGUUUAAAU
RNAcentral lists this long non-coding RNA (2091 nucleotides) under Cervus hanglu yarkandensis (Yarkand deer). RNAcentral's name for it is "lncRNA (ENSCHYG00000008691.1)". The record is from RNAcentral. Lineage: Eukaryota; Metazoa; Chordata; Mammalia; Artiodactyla; Cervidae.